RNAcentral lists this ribosomal RNA (466 nucleotides) under Vreelandella stevensii. Its description in RNAcentral is "partial 16S ribosomal RNA". It matches the Rfam family "Bacterial small subunit ribosomal RNA", at positions 338 to 795 of the family's 1533-position model. The record is from RNAcentral. Lineage: Bacteria; Pseudomonadati; Pseudomonadota; Gammaproteobacteria; Oceanospirillales; Halomonadaceae.
CCUACGGGCGGCAGCAGUGGGGAAUAUUGGACAAUGGGGGGGAACCCUGAUCCAGCCAUGCCGCGUGUGUGAAGAAGGCCCUCGGGUUGUAAAGCACUUUCAGUGAGGAAGAACGCCUGGUGGUUAAUACCCAUCAGGAAAGACAUCACUCACAGAAGAAGCACCGGCUAACUCCGUGCCAGCAGCCGCGGUAAUACGGAGGGUGCGAGCGUUAAUCGGAAUUACUGGGCGUAAAGCGCGCGUAGGUGGCUUGAUAAGCCGGUUGUGAAAGCCCCGGGCUCAACCUGGGAACGGCAUCCGGAACUGUCAAGCUAGAGUGCAGGAGAGGAAGGUAGAAUUCCCGGUGUAGCGGUGAAAUGCGUAGAGAUCGGGAGGAAUACCAGUGGCGAAGGCGGCCUUCUGGACUGACACUGACACUGAGGUGCGAAAGCGUGGGUAGCAAACAGGAUUAGAUACCCCAGUAGUC